Molecule: ribosomal RNA, 679 nt
Filed under: Lichtheimia hongkongensis
Lineage: Eukaryota; Fungi; Mucoromycota; Mucoromycetes; Mucorales; Lichtheimiaceae
Description: eukaryotic LSU rRNA
Rfam family: Eukaryotic large subunit ribosomal RNA
Source: RNAcentral
UAGUACGGCGAGUGAAGAGGGAAAAGCUCAAAGUUGGAACCUGGCUGCCCUAGGCAGUCCGGAUUGUAAACUAAAGAGCGUGAUUCCAGGCAAGCCGGUUGACCAAGUCCUUUGGAAUGAGGCGCCACUGAGGGUGAGAGCCCCGUAAGUCGACUGAGCAUUUGUCUUUUGUGCUUCGCGUUCAAAGAGUCAGGUUGUUUGGGAAUGCAGCCUAAAGCUGGUGGUAAAUCCCACCUAAAGCUAAAUACAGGCGAGAGACCGAUAGCGAACAAGUACCGUGAGGGAAAGAUGAAAAGAACUUUGAAAAGAGAGUUAAACAGUAUGUGAAAUUGCCAAGAGGGAAGCAUUUGGAGUUAGAUUGACUAGGAGUUAAUCAGCUUGGUCUUUGGACUGGGUGUACUUGACUUCUUACAGUCUGCCAAUAGCAGUUAGUCCUAGUGGAAAAAACCAGAGGGAAGGUAGUCCUUCGGGAUGUUUAUAGACCUUUGGAAAAUACACUGGGAUUGACUGAGGAAUGCAGUAGAUGCCACUAAGGCUUCGUCUAGUGGGUGCUAGGCAAAGGUACUUGGUAUUUUCAGCUUGCUGAUGUGCUAGGUUACUCGAGUCUAGUCGCCUACUAGAACUGUAAUCUACUUUGGUUAUUGGCUUAAUGACUCUAAAUGGCCCGUCUUGAAAACAC